This is a transfer-messenger RNA of 213 nucleotides. It matches the Rfam family "Alphaproteobacteria transfer-messenger RNA", at positions 148 to 355 of the family's 355-position model. Rfam says of the family: Bacterial tmRNA, also known as 10Sa RNA or SsrA, is named for its dual tRNA and mRNA-like properties. Its role is to liberate the mRNA from a stalled ribosome.
GGGGGCGAAAUAGGAUCGACGCAUGUAGUAAAGGCAGUAUUUUCGUUCGGUAUGGUACCCACCGUUAUCGGGCCAUGUAGUAGUUGCAAAUGACAACACUGCUCCGGUAGCAAUCGCAGCCUAAGGCAGCGGGAGUAACCGAUCUUAAGUCCAGAUUGAUUGAGCUCAGUUUGGCGGGGUUUGGGGCGCACCUGGCAACAGAAGCGUUCCGCU